GAGCAUAUGAUGUUAUAAGGAGAUGCUACUGAGAUUUUACGCUGUUGAAGUAUCUUAAACCGAGCUUUUUAAAACUGAUGCUUG
Molecule: non-coding RNA, 84 nt
Organism: Triticum aestivum (bread wheat)
Lineage: Eukaryota; Viridiplantae; Streptophyta; Magnoliopsida; Poales; Poaceae
Source: Rfam